Molecule: ribosomal RNA, 459 nt
Filed under: Salmonella enterica
Lineage: Bacteria; Pseudomonadati; Pseudomonadota; Gammaproteobacteria; Enterobacterales; Enterobacteriaceae
Also listed under: 1 other name
Description: bacterial SSU rRNA
Rfam family: Bacterial small subunit ribosomal RNA
Source: RNAcentral
AAAUUGAAGAGUUUGAUCAUGGCUCAGAUUGAACGCUGGCGGCAGGCCUAACACAUGCAAGUCGAACGGUAACAGGAAGCAGCUUGCUGCUUCGCUGACGAGUGGCGGACGGGUGAGUAAUGUCUGGGAAACUGCCUGAUGGAGGGGGAUAACUACUGGAAACGGUGGCUAAUACCGCAUAACGUCGCAAGACCAAAGAGGGGGACCUUCGGGCCUCUUGCCAUCAGAUGUGCCCAGAUGGGAUUAGCUAGUUGGUGAGGUAACGGCUCACCAAGGCGACGAUCCCUAGCUGGUCUGAGAGGAUGGCCAGCCACACUGGAACUGAGACACGGUCCAGACUCCUACGGGAGGCAGCAGUGGGGAAUAUUGCACAAUGGGCGCAAGCCUGAUGCAGCCAUGCCGCGUGUAUGAAGAAGGCCUUCGGGUUGUAAAGUACUUUCAGCGGGGAGGAAGGUGUUG